UACGGGGGGGGCAAGCGUUGUUCGGAAUUACUGGGCGUAAAGGGCUCGUAGGCGGCCAACUAAGUCAGACGUGAAAUCCCUCGGCUUAACCGGGGAACUGCGUCUGAUACUGGAUGGCUUGAGUUUGGGAGAGGGAUGCGGAAUUCCAGGUGUAGCGGUGAAAUGCGUAGAUAUCUGGAGGAACACCGGAGGCGAAGGCGGCAUCCUGGACCAACACUGACGCUGAGGAGCGAAAGCCAGGGGAGCAAACGGG
Molecule: ribosomal RNA, 253 nt
Filed under: uncultured bacterium
Lineage: Bacteria
Description: partial 16S ribosomal RNA
Rfam family: Bacterial small subunit ribosomal RNA
Source: RNAcentral